RNAcentral lists this ribosomal RNA (420 nucleotides) under Parapsallus vitellinus. Its description in RNAcentral is "partial 16S ribosomal RNA". The stretch from base 294 to 420 matches the Rfam family "Bacterial large subunit ribosomal RNA", at positions 2473 to 2600 of the family's 2925-position model. The record is from RNAcentral. Lineage: Eukaryota; Metazoa; Arthropoda; Insecta; Hemiptera; Miridae.
GUCUCUUAAUUGGAGUCUGGUAUGAAUGGUUGGAUGAGGAAUCUACUUUCUUUAUUUUAAAAAUAAAAUUUGAUUUUUAGAUUAAAAAGUCUAGGUAUAUUUAUAGGACGAGAAGACCCUAUAGAACUUAACUUUCCCUUAAUUAAUUAUUUAUUUGUAAAUAAUUAUUUCUUAUUUUUGGGGGAAAGUUUUAUUGGGGUGAUAAAAAAAAUUUUUUAACUUUUUUUACUUUUUUCAUUUAUUUGUGAAUUUUUGAUCUUUUAUUAAGGAAAAUAAGAUUAAGUUACCUUAGGGAUAACAGCGUUAUUGUUUUAGAGAGUUCAUAUCAAUAAAAUAGUUUGCGACCUCGAUGUUGGAUUAAAAUUAGUGCUAGGGGUAGAAUAUUAGUUACUAGGUCUGUUCGACCUUUAAAUUUUUACA